Molecule: ribosomal RNA, 500 nt
Filed under: uncultured marine picoplankton
Lineage: Eukaryota
Description: SSU rRNA
Rfam family: Eukaryotic small subunit ribosomal RNA
Source: RNAcentral
CAUAGCGUAUAUUAAAGUUGUUGCAGUUAAAAAGUCUCGUAGUUGGAUUUCUGGCAUGAUGCGCCCGGCCCGCCUCAACUAUGAGUGUGUGUGCUAGUGCGCGUCUGCCAUCCAUUUACAGAACGGUCAUACCCUUCAUUGGGCCGUGCUCGUGAUGUAAAUCUUUUACUUUGAAAAAAUUAGAGUGUUUAAAGCAGGCAUUUGCUAUGAAUACAUUAGCAUGGAAUAAUAAUCUAGGACUCUGGUUCUAUUUUGUUGGUUUCUAGUACUGGAGUAAUGAUUGAUAGGGAUAGUUGGGGGUGCUAGUAUUUAGGGGCCAGAGGUGAAAUUCUUGGAUUCUCUAAAGACUAACUUAUGCGAAAGCAUUCACCAAGGAUGUCUUCUUUAAUCAAGAACGAAAGUUGGGGGAUCGAAGACGAUCAGAUACCGUCGUAGUCUCAACCAUAAACUAUGCCGACUAGAGAUUGGAGGUCGUUAUCCAUACGACUCCUUCAGCACCU